Xiphias gladius (swordfish) is the source of this 393-nucleotide non-coding RNA. Lineage: Eukaryota; Metazoa; Chordata; Actinopteri; Istiophoriformes; Xiphiidae. The record is from the annotation of a RefSeq genome assembly.
AUGGCCUGGAUCAGACAGGCUCCUGGAAAAGGACUGGAGUGGAUUGCUACUAUCAGUAGCGGUGGUGGUGGCAGCACUUACUACUCUCAGUCAGUUCAAGGUGCGAAGUGUGAACAGUUGACACAACCAGCCUCUGUGACUGUGCAGCCAGGUCAACGUCUGACCAUCACCUGUCAGGUCUCUUAUUCUGUUGACAACUACUACACAGCUUGGAUCAGACAGCCUGCAGGGAAGGGACUGGAGUGGAUUAGUAGUGACACAGACGUCAAAGAUUCGCUAAAGAACAAGUUCAGUAUCGACUUAGACUCUUCCAGCAACACAGUGACUCUAAACGGACAGAAUGUGCAGCCUGAAGACACUGCUGUGUAUUACUGUGCCAGAGACCCACAAUAA